This 104-nucleotide small nuclear RNA is filed under the name Notamacropus eugenii (tammar wallaby). Lineage: Eukaryota; Metazoa; Chordata; Mammalia; Diprotodontia; Macropodidae. The record is from RNAcentral.
GGGCUCAAUUCAGCAGUAUGUGGAUUAAAAUUGGAAUGCCGCAGAGAUUAGCAUGGCUCCUGUGCAGAAAUGCCAUACCAAUUCUUGAAGCAUGCCAUAUUUUC